UCUUUGAAAGCUUUAAAGAAGCAACGGACUUUUAAUCCGAUGACUGGCACUCUAGUGCCUCAAAGAA
Molecule: transfer RNA, 67 nt
Filed under: Scoloplos cf. armiger CB-2006
Lineage: Eukaryota; Metazoa; Annelida; Polychaeta; Orbiniidae
Description: tRNA-Lys
Source: RNAcentral